GGGGCUGACUGGCUUUGACAGCGUGUAGAAGCGGUAGGUAAGCAUGCAGAGUUUUGGUGUUCAAACUCUAUAAUCGCAAGAGCAUCGAACUAUAAUUGGCGAAAAUAACAAUUACGCUCUCGCUGCGUAACCUGAAGUACAGUAGGGUUCCUUUAUUCGCCUCAAAGUGAGGUGAACGAGACAUCACUCCAUUGCCCGGUUCCGAGACGUUUGGAUAAAGUGGUGCUAAGAAAUUCGGAAAUAGGAGAGAGGCAGUCCCGGCUUUUCUCCGAGAUCAAGGGACUAAGGCACGGGUUGGCCGUCGUGAGCCUGCCCAUGCUCGAAAACCAAUUCACAGACUAAGCAUGUAGAAAGCUUAUUGAUUCCGCGUUUGGACGAGGGUUCAAUCCCCUCCAGCUCCACA
Molecule: transfer-messenger RNA, 403 nt
Filed under: human gut metagenome
Rfam family: transfer-messenger RNA
About the family: Bacterial tmRNA, also known as 10Sa RNA or SsrA, is named for its dual tRNA and mRNA-like properties. Its role is to liberate the mRNA from a stalled ribosome. To accomplish this part of the tmRNA is used as a reading frame that ends in a translation stop signal.
Source: RNAcentral